UUCGAGUCGUUGAUUUCACACUGCCGAGAAAAGCCUCUAGAUAGAAAAUAGGUGCCCGUACCGCAAACCGACACAGGUAGUCAAGAUGAGAAUUCUAAGGUGAGCGAGCGAACUCUCGUUAAGGAACUCGGCAAAAUGACCCCGUAACUUCGGGAGAAGGGGUGCUCUUUAGGGUUAACGCCCAGAAGAGCCGCAGUGAAUAGGCCCAAGCGACUGUUUAUCAAAAACACAGGUCUCUGCUAAACCGUAAGGUGAUGUAUAGGGGCUGACGCCUGCCCGGUGCUGGAAGGUUAAGAGGAGUGGUUAGCUUCUGCGAAGCUACGAAUCGAAGCCCCAGUAAACGGCGGCCGUAACUAUAACGGUCCUAAGGUAGCGAAAUUCCUUGUCGGGUAAGUUCCGACCCGCACGAAAGGCGUAACGAUUUGGGCACUGUCUCAACGAGAGACUCGGUGAAAUCAUAGUACCUGUGAAGAUGCAGGUUACCCGCGACAGGACGGAAAGACCCCGUGGAGCUUUACUGUAGCCUGAUAUUGAAAUUCGGCACAGCUUGUACAGGAUAGGUAGGAGCCUUUGAAACGUGAGCGCUAGCUUACGUGGAGGCGCUGGUGGGAUACUACCCUAGCUGUGUUGGCUUUCUAACCCGCACCACUUAUCGUGGUGGGAGACAGUGUCAGGCGGGCAGUUUGACUGGGGCGGUCGCCUCCUAAAAGGUAACGGAGGCGCUCAAAGGUUCCCUCAGAAUGGUUGGAAAUCAUUCAUAGAGUGUAAAGGCAUAAGGGAGCUUGACUGCGAGACCUACAAGUCGAGCAGGGUCGAAAGACGGACUUAGUGAUCCGGUGGUUCCGCAUGGAAGGGCCAUCGCUCAACGGAUAAAAGCUACCCCGGGGAUAACAGGCUUAUCUCCCCCAAGAGUUCACAUCGACGGGGAGGUUUGGCACCUCGAUGUCGGCUCAUCGCAUCCUGGGGCUGUAGUCGGUCCCAAGGGUUGGGCUGUUCGCCCAUUAAAGCGGUACGCGAGCUGGGUUCAGAACGUCGUGAGACAGUUCGGUCCCUAUCCGUCGUGGGCGUAGGAAAUUUGAGAGGAGCUGUCCUUAGUACGAGAGGACCGGGAUGGACAUACCUCUGGUGUACCAGUUGUCGUGCCAACGGCAUAGCUGGGUAGCUAUGUGUGGACGGGAUAAGUGCUGAAAGCAUCUAAGCAUGAAGCCCCCCUCAAGAUGAGAUUUCCCAACUUCGGUUAUAAGAUCCCU
RNAcentral lists this ribosomal RNA (1250 nucleotides) under Staphylococcus aureus. Its description in RNAcentral is "partial 23S ribosomal RNA". It matches the Rfam family "Bacterial large subunit ribosomal RNA", at positions 1585 to 2838 of the family's 2925-position model. The record is from RNAcentral. Lineage: Bacteria; Bacillati; Bacillota; Bacilli; Caryophanales; Staphylococcaceae.